AGAAUCUUUCGCAAUGCCCGAAAGGGUGACGAAGCGACGCCGCGUGUGGGAAGAAGGCCUUCGGGUUGUAAACCACUGUCGGGAGUUAAGAAAUGUAAGGGUGUUAAUAGCAUCCUUACUUGACUAAGGCUCCGGAGGAAGCCACGGCUAACUCUGUGCUAGCAGCCGCGGUAAUACAGAGGCGGCAAGCGUUGUUCGGAAUUAUUGGGCGUGAAGAGCACGUAAGCGGCCGUGCAAGUCGGUUGUGAAAGCCUUCCGCUUAACGGAAGAACAGCAGCCGAUACUGCAUGGCUUGAGUGCGGAAGGGGAGGGUGGAACUUCUGGUGGAGCGGUGAAAUGCGUAGAUAUCAGAAGGAACGCCGGCGGCGAAAGCGUCUCUCUGGUCCGUAACUGACGCUGAGUGUGCGAAAGCUAGGGGAGCAAACGGGAUUAGAUACCCCGGUAGUCCUAGCCGUAAACGAUGGGCACUAAGUAGAGGGGUUUUGAUUAUCUCUCUGCCGGAGCUAACGCAUUAAGUGCCCCGCCUGGGGAGUACGGCCGCAAGGCUAAAACUCAAAAGAAUUGACGGGGGCUCGCACAAGCGGUGGAGCAUGUGGCUUAAUUCGAUGCAACGCGAAGAACCUUACCGGGGUUUGACAUGGUAGAAGUAGGAGCCCGAGAGGGUAACGAACGGUAUCCAGUCCAUAACUAUCACAGGUGUUGCAUGGCUG
RNAcentral lists this ribosomal RNA (710 nucleotides) under uncultured anaerobic ammonium-oxidizing bacterium. Its description in RNAcentral is "bacterial SSU rRNA". It matches the Rfam family "Bacterial small subunit ribosomal RNA", at positions 358 to 1051 of the family's 1533-position model. The record is from RNAcentral.